GUCGGUGUCGUCUAGUGGCAAGAUACCCUCAUUUUCCGAGGAAGACCCAAGUUCGAUUCUUGUGCGCCGGCC
This is a non-coding RNA of Massariosphaeria phaeospora, 72 nucleotides long. The record is from the annotation of a GenBank genome assembly. NCBI's taxonomy places the organism in Eukaryota, Fungi, Ascomycota, Dothideomycetes, Pleosporales.